Molecule: non-coding RNA, 76 nt
Organism: Oncorhynchus nerka (sockeye salmon)
Lineage: Eukaryota; Metazoa; Chordata; Actinopteri; Salmoniformes; Salmonidae
Source: the annotation of a RefSeq genome assembly
GGCCCUGUGUCGCUCAGUUGGUAAGAGUGUGGCACUAACAAUGCCAGGGUAGCGGGUUCUAUUCCCGCUGGAGCCA